GAAGCUGACCAGACAGUCGCCGCUUCGUCGUCGUCCUUUCGGGGAGACGGGCGGAGGGGAGGAAAGUCCGGGCUCCAUAGGGCAGGGUGCCAGGUAACGCCUGGGGGGGAAACCCACGACCAGUGCAACAGAGAGCAAACCGCCGAUGGCCCACGUAAGUGGGAUCAGGUAAGGGUGAAAGGGUGCGGUAAGAGCGCACCGCGCGGCUGGUAAC
Molecule: RNase P RNA, 214 nt
Filed under: Staphylococcus pseudintermedius
Lineage: Bacteria; Bacillati; Bacillota; Bacilli; Caryophanales; Staphylococcaceae
Description: partial RNase P RNA component class A
Rfam family: Bacterial RNase P class A
About the family: Ribonuclease P (RNase P) is a ubiquitous endoribonuclease, found in archaea, bacteria and eukarya as well as chloroplasts and mitochondria. Its best characterised activity is the generation of mature 5'-ends of tRNAs by cleaving the 5'-leader elements of precursor-tRNAs.
Source: RNAcentral